Molecule: transfer RNA, 73 nt
Filed under: Marmota monax (woodchuck)
Lineage: Eukaryota; Metazoa; Chordata; Mammalia; Rodentia; Sciuridae
Description: tRNA.Ala
Rfam family: tRNA
About the family: Transfer RNA (tRNA) molecules are approximately 80 nucleotides in length. Their secondary structure includes four short double-helical elements and three loops (D, anti-codon, and T loops).
Source: RNAcentral
UGGGGUUGUGGCUCAGAGGUAGAGCGCUGGCCUAGCAUGCAUGAGGCACUGGGUUUGAUUCUCAGCACCACAA